AUGGCUGUCGUCAGCUCGUGUCGUGAGAUGUUGGGUUAAGUCCCGCAACGAGCGCAACCCUUACUUUUAGUUGCCAUCAUUUAGUUGGGAACUCUAAAAGAACUGCCAGUGAUAAGCUGGAGGAAGGUGGGGAUGACGUCAAGUCCUCAUGGCCCUUACGUGUUGGGCUACACACGUGCUACAAUGGUACUUACAAUGAGAAGCAAAGAUGCGAGUCUAAGCCAAUCUUAAAAAAGUACCUCAGUUCGGAUUGCACUCUGCAACUCGAGUGCAUGAAGCUGGAAUUACUAGUAAUCGUGGAUCAGCGCGCCACGGUGAAUACGUUCCCGGGUCUUGUACACACCGCCCGUCACACCAUGGAAGUUGGUUACACCUUAAGGCAAAUUGUUAACCCUCGGGAAACAUUUGACUACGGUACGAUCAGCGACUGGGGUGAAGUCGUAACAAGGUAGCCGUAGGGGAACCUGCGGCUGGAUCACCUCCUUUCUAAGGAAAUCGAAAAUAUCAAAACAAUUAUUUUCGAUUUAAAAAAAACCGGUAAUGUGACCGUCCUCAUUUCUCUUCUUUUAAUGUCUCUGAGUAAAAAUAAUGUAAAGGGGCCGGUAGCUCAGUUGGUUAGAGCGCACCCCUGAUAAGGGUGAGGUCGGAAGUUCGAAUCUUCCUCGGCCCACCAAUAUUAUGGGGGAUUAGCUCAGCUGGGAGAGCGCCUGAUUUGCAUUCAGGAGGCCAGCGGUUCGAUCCCGCUAUCCUCCACCAAAAUUUGAGACAUUUAGCUUUUUUAAAUUGUGAAUAUUAUUAAUAUUAUCAAUAUCUAUAUCCGAUUGUUUUCAGAUAUUUUUUUGAAAGCAAUCAAAACAAAAAUUUGAAUUUUACACAGAAAGUUUUUUUCUGUGCAUAAAUCAAGCGUUUAAGGGCGAUUGGCGGAUGCCUUGGCACUGUAAGACGAUGAAGGACGUGGUAUACUGCGAUAAGUUUCGGGGAGCUGUAUGCAGGCUUUGAUCCGAAAAUUUCCGAAUGGGGAAACCCGG
Molecule: small RNA, 1028 nt
Filed under: uncultured bacterium
Lineage: Bacteria
Description: bacterial SSU rRNA
Rfam family: Bacterial small subunit ribosomal RNA (bases 1-486)
Source: RNAcentral